GAAUGGAGUUCUCAAAGUGUGCAAAGGCUCUAUGAUACUCAUGAAGAGUAGUUUGAUUUCAGGAUUGUAUUUUCUUCAGGGCAGUAUAAUUUCAGGGGAAGCUGCAAUAGCAUCCGGAAGCAAUAAUCAGAAUCAGACUCAAUUGUGGCAUAUGUGUCCUGGUCAUAUGAGUGAAAGAGAAUUAUUUGUGUUAAGCAAGCGGGAUUUGUUGGAC
This 214-nucleotide unclassified non-coding RNA is filed under the name Hevea brasiliensis (rubber tree). The record is from RNAcentral. Lineage: Eukaryota; Viridiplantae; Streptophyta; Magnoliopsida; Malpighiales; Euphorbiaceae.